Molecule: long non-coding RNA, 8781 nt
Organism: Myiozetetes cayanensis
Lineage: Eukaryota; Metazoa; Chordata; Aves; Passeriformes; Tyrannidae
Exons: 4
Source: RefSeq, a predicted model, not a curated record
CUUGAGAGUCCUGGCCUCAGGGAAACCAGCUGAAACAGCUCUUCUCCCGCCUUUCCAUUAGGCAGAAUCUUUGAUUAACUGAGCUUCCAACUGUCUGAAAAUUGCAGGCACCCUUGAAGAUUUUCAGAUAAUGAGUGUUAAUGCCCCAUCUGAAACAAAAAAAUGAUAGUUGAAUUGGAAGAGUGCUGAAGAGGAGGGCACUGGGGAACACAUUUGUGAGCCAUCACACAAAUUCUCUGAGAAGCCCAGGCAGAAAUUCAGAACAUCACAUCCUAACAGAACAUAAUGUACUCCAGAAAGAGGAGAGAUAAUGUAUCCUAAUGUAUUCAGUAUUUGCCUUUGAUUGAGGUUUUGUAUCCGUGACUGGUAGAAGAAAUCAGAGUAAAAGCAGCUGAGGAAAGAAGAAAUGGAUGUUUGCAAUGUGUGAGUAAUGUGGACUAAAUGAUGACCUCAGUGAAAUGAAAAUCCUUAGUAGGGCAGCAGAUGGAUGUGAAAGAUGAGGAGACUAAGGACACUACCUCUUCCUGAAGACCCACUGACACACUAAAAGGUAAUGAUGCCAACUGGGAAAGAAGAAAAGGACCUAAAUUUGAAAGAAGACUGGGAAGGCAGGGGGGCUAUAUAAAAGACGCUUAAAUAAAUUGCUAUAAAGAUGGCAUCACCAGAUGGAGCUGUUACUUACACUCUUCUAAAUGCUUCUCCUUUGCAUCCAAGGACCUUCUCAGUUUUAAGACUUUAUAUAUUGCAUAAUUUUGUGAAAUAAUUUCUGUGUUCCAAAAUAUGGCAAAUAGCAGGGAAGACUGCUCUCUGUCCUAGUAUCUCCAACAGAGCUGCUAUUCUGGGAAUUCUUGUUGCUUUCUCAGGGUUUGUCAAUGAAGACAUCACCUGAGCCCUUUCUACUCUUUAUUCAAAGAGACUAUUACAUGACAGUGGAAAUAAAGUAUCCUGCACCACGACUACAACCAGUGCCUACCACACUGAUUUCGCCCUGCAGUGGUAAGCUUACCUGCAGGGCUUAAACGUCGCAUGUUGCUUUGGCAGAAAGACAAGCAGCUACAGCUGAUCCACACAUAACCUUAUCGAUUGUAUCUCUCCUCUCCCAGGCUUUCCAGAACAGUGCUUGAAAUGGGAGCCUCUCUGCCAUUUUUCUUUCUAUAGAUCUGUUUAUUCUUUCUGUUAUCAGUGCUCCCAAUAUGCAUUAUCUCUGUACAUUAUCAGCCACAGCAAAGCGAAAAGAAGAAAAGCUUUGCCUUUAAAAUAUUUAACUUAAAACCCCAGUUAUCUGAUCCAAAGCUUUGGCUCUUUCCCAGGGAAGAGAGCAACCUUCAGUUUAUUGCCCAUAGAAGAGCCUAUUCUUAUUAAUCAAGGCACCUCGGCACCUCAUUCAGUGAAAAGCCAUGCUUGGGGAAGCUGACCUGAUUGCUACCUCUGAGGAUCGAGGGGUGCUGGACUGUAUUUAAAGAGGCUAUCACAACCUUGGCAAAAAUUGUUUCCUCUUUGUUAAAUUCUUGUCUGUACCAGACACUAUCACGGGGCUUUAAAUUCCACUUUGGAAUUCUAUUUUUAGAGCUCAAGUGGUAUUUAUAUGGUGCUUCAACCUGACACGAGCUCUCUGCACAAGGCUGAAUUUAGCCUUGCAUGCACUCACUGCUGAAGCUGCUGACUAUGAUAAACCCAGAAGGGUUUGCUCUACAUGUGUCUAAUAGGCUACUAUGUACCAGAAAUGUAGGACUUCCAUGAUGGCUAAAAUUUCACCAAAUGCUUGCAACACAUUAACGAUGACAAAUUAUGUUUCUAAGUUCACAUUUUGUUGUCAAUGGUGUCUGUACUUCAUUACUGACUGUUACAGAAAAAUACCAAACCCUUGUUUUAAGAAUAAAUGAAAUAAGAUUCCCAGAUUUUUUUUACAGCUAAGAAAAAGUCCCCUUUUCAGUCUGGUGUUUGGUCAUGCUGUCAUCAGCCCUGGCUCUCUUCACUGGCACUCUCUUCUCUAAAUUUUGAGCUGUUGGCCAACUUGAACAAAUAGGCAGAAGAGCACAGGGGAAGAGGUCUCAUGGAUAUUAGACUCCCUUGGGCUUCAUUACAUAGAGGAGAGAGAGUACUAAUAUCACACUGACAGAAAUAUGCUGAACCUGUAUUAGACGGUAGAGAAGGCAAACAGGAGUAGAUGAAGACAUAAAUAUAAUAGAAAAUUAGAUGCUGUUGAUUUUGUUGCUCAUGGAUAACAUGGUAAUGUGGGGGAACAGAUACACAGGAGAUCAAGACCUGCUUACUCACAAUGUUGUGAGUUUUGUGUGUUUUGGUGUUUGUUGCUUCAGCUGCAGGUGCAAAGUGGGCAGCCAUAAAUGCCCCUUAAUAUAAAAAUAUAGAUUAAAAAACCAGUCCUAAGUGUCUUGCCCAAAUUCAGUCAGUGAUGGAAACAAUUAUAUACGUUGCUUCAAACUGUCUGGCCCUGAUAAAUUUCUGUUCAAAGGCUGAGCUGGGGUAAUGAAAAAUAUUCCCAGGAUGUUCUCAAUUUCAUAACUACACAUUAGCUAUAAGCAAAAAAAAAAACUCCAAACCCUAGAAACAAAACACAAAAUGAAACCAAACAACUCACAGUAGUAGAAUAAAGCAAUGAAGAAUGACAAAACCGAUGAAGAAAUCCACAAUGUGUUUGCCUGUGCCUCACAGUAAUUAAUGCUUUUUGAGAUAUUAGAUAAACUUUUCUUUGUUGUAAUAGAAACAGAUUUCCCAGAUCUCCUAUUUCAACUCUCAAGCUCCACCUUUUCUCAGCUUUGUCUGAAAUUAGUCAUAUUUUCUACCACUUUAAUAAACGUGGAAUACAAUUUGGAAAUUAUCUGUUUGCAUCAGCACUGGCAAUGAACAAUAGCUCAAAUUUUGAGAGUCAAGGCUUCAAUAAUAAGGCCUGAUUUUCUUAGCAAUCAGAUGCAUACACACGCGUACACACACACGCACGCACGCACACCACAUGUCUUUGUGAAUAGGGCCCAAAACAGCUGCAACCUUCCAGAAAUUAAUUGGAUUCUGGAUCAUUUGCAUUUUUAUAUAGUUUACCAACAAAAGAUGGAGAUAGCAAGUUUAUUAAUGUGAAAAAAGAGAGACAGAGGGAAAGAGAGAGAGGGAGGGAAAGUGAAUGUUUUGGUUGAGCCACUAAUCCAAAUUUUAAUACACAUAGUGCCUAUUCACCUUAUAAUACUUCAGCAGAUCCUCCAAGGUGGAAAUUGAUAUGCAGGUCUAAACUGCAGGCAGCUGUUAAGGACUCCUACUGAUGCCUAGGGCCUUUACAGUUCCUCAUCUGGGUAGACAUUAUGAUUUGAUAAUGGCCAUAUUCAGACAACACCCAAGGCAAUUCUAGGAUUUGCUGUCACAAUAGACACACUGAAAAUAAAGUCAGUGUAAAUAGAUUAAGAAAUUGACAGAAUAACAAGGCAGAAAGAAUUAGAAUGAAUACACAAAUGGCAGAUGACAACUCAAUGUAUUGUGAUACAGAGAUGGGAUAAGGAAAGUGGAGCUGGAGGAUUUAUCUUCUGCCAGUAUGCCUUCAACCUGCUUCCUGCCAGUGUGGAUGCCUAUUUCAUUGAAAACUGAAAUCUUUAUUACAAGAUUUCUUAUCUCUCUUGUUGUCUAUUGAAAAAACUUCCUUUCUGCUCAAUUGAAAGCGAAAGCUCCUGAAAACUCCUGAUCCAUAUGUCCAAGAGAGCUUCAGUUUUUCCAAGUAGUCAUCUAGUGACCAGUGGGUAAAAUUGACCCUCUUUUUACUUGGGAAUAGGAAGAAAAUACUGACUUGAUAUUCAGAGUACAGUGUGACCCUGAAUUCCGAUGGAAGUUGGUGUGAACACUGCAUGACAAGGUGGUAACCAGGGCAUUAUAUUAUGUGAUUCAUUUCCGGAUUUCUUAGAAAUGCUUGUGCUUAGGUGUUUGUGAGGUUUAGUGCAUGAACUUUUCUGUGGAGUCCUUUAUUUGAUGCCUUUGGGCUGAGGGGGACUAUGAAUAGAUGGAAUUCAGUUUAUUCACUUUUAUUGUGAUUGCAACUUCAUCACAGCCAAAACCAGCUCCUAGCUUUGCUCAACCCCGCCUGAAAAACCAAAUCAUACCUGAGUAAAGAAGGUACCAGACCAAUUCCUAUAAUACAGAAUAUGAGUUUAUAUGUGCAGAAGAACUGUGGAUAUUGAAUAGUUUCUUGGUUGGUCUCUGUACGAUAGACCCAGAGCACAUGCAGCGAUGGAAUAUCAAGCAGUGACAUCUCCAACAGGUUGUUGGGUGAAGAAGGAACUAGAACUCCUAUAAGGAUGAAAACGAAACUCAGCGCUGUGUAAGUGCUCAGCUGGACAAGGAUCCUGUGAACUUCAAUUCUGUGUUAGUGCACCUGCCAUUGCCAGACCUGGUGCACAGCUUUCCUGGGGAACAAAAGCUGGUUCGGAGCACACAGGAAAGCAAGGCAGUAGCACUGCACAGGGCUGGUCUAUAGCAGCAAGUGGCUAUUUACAUAGCAGUAAAAUGCCAUCUACUUUCACUAUGUCAGAGCUUUAGGCAGCAAGAUUGGCCUAUAAGGAGACACUGCAGUAAGAGGUGCUGCUGGGAGGAAGAAGGAAAGAGUAACUUUGACCCCCUGGGGCUACAUGAGCAGAAAGUUGUGCCCUCAGCUAUCCAGCCCAGCUCCACCUUCUCCUGCAAGCCCUUUCCUAUUUAGAUAUUUUGCUAAAAUCACUGAGAAACCUUGAGAUAACUCUCAUGUUUGAACAACGCAAAUCCCGAACCCUCAGUGCAGGAUAUUCAACCAACACAUCUUGAGUAAUCUGGAGGGAGUGUAGACUCAUUUUGAGUAAAAUAAUUAUUUUUGCUUGAAUUCAUGGGAAUUAACGCAGUGCUUGAGUGCUGUGUUGAAUCAGGGACAAAAUUAUAUGUGUCUUGCAUAAAUAAUAAUUAAAUCUUUAUGACUUUAUAUGUCUAUUAUCUUGUAUGGAUCUUGUGAAUGUAACAGUUCCAUCUAAUUCUGAAACAAUGCAAUAGAACAACUUUGAACUUUCAUUUUCUUACCUCUUUCUUUUUUUCCUCCUGCCCCAUUUCUUUUGUCUAGUAAGGAGUCUCCCUGAUUUUCCUACAUUUCCUGGGGUUUGUUUUCCUUCUGCAUAAAGUUUGACCAAUUCUUUUAUAUACGUUUUGAUCACAGUCCAUAAUUAUAUUAUAUAUCCUCCUUUUUUUUUUCCUUUGUUUCUUUUUUUCUUUGCUCUCCUCCUUCAGGUGUUAUUUUUAUUCCUCUUUCUUUGUGUGUUCUCAACCACUUUUGUUUCAUGCUCUCUCAUUCUUCUCUUUCUCUGAUUAAUUUACACUGAGCAUCUGACUCUAUUCCUCUCUCUUAAUCUGUCCUUCAAGGUUAGAGGAAGAGAUAAGAUGAUGGUAUGACCAGAGAAAGCAGAAAUCAGGCAUCAAGGAUAAAAUGGGCUGAAUGUCACAGAGCCUUCAAGUAUGAGGAAGAACAAGUUAGAGUAACAAAUAUUAAAAGAAGAGGAUGCAAGGGAAAGUUCAUAAAGAACAUGGAAAAAGGAUUGAAAACAAGGUCAGUGAGGGAAAAACUGCAGUGCUACUAGUUCUAUUCACAAGUUCAGUGUUCCCUGAUUUUUGAAGGACCCAAAGCUGCAAGGAGUAGAGAGCCCCAUUUAGCCUUAAAUCAAUCCUGUUAAAAGGAAUACCUUGAUUACAGUUAGCUUGCCAGAAUUUAGAAAUGAGACAGGAACAUGGCCAACAUUCUUCUGGCUGAAUACACAGAUAUUAGCGAGACAUAUUAUGGAAUGAUAAAGUAUCUAAGUGCACCAGGCCCUUAUUUAUCUAACUUUUGUUAACCUUUGCAGAAAGCUUGCCAAAGUAUUCUGGUAGUACUGGAAAGCCAAGUAAUAGUCUUAUAACCAGGCAACAUUUUGCAUGGCACAAAUAACUAUAUUUGUACUGCCUAGGGACUUUGUAAUUUCCUGCUUUUGAGACAGUCAAGAAAUAUGAGAAGUGUAAGAUUGAAAUCCUGGCCUCACUCAAGUUAAAGGCAAUAUAUUCAUUUAAAUUCCUGUAGUGCAGCCACUUUCCAGCUAAAAGGGUGCUGACGAAAUGUUGCCUGUGUGAACAUAUCUAAUUUAGAUGGUUUUAAAAAGCACCAGAGGAGAAAACACAGAAAGCUGAUGAAUAUUAGGGCAGGAGUGAUAGGAAAAUUACAGAUAGAACAAGAUCAUGAAAGGACUAGGGCUAUAAAGGGUGGAUGAGAGAGCAUAUCCAUAUAAGACUCUAAAAGGAACACAGGAGAGUCAAAAUUGUCAGGCACUGCAGAUGAAGCGAAAAGGAGGACAGACACAAUGAGAACUUGGAGCCAUUCUAGGCAAAGCAGAACUUGUUGCUACCAAAUGGGCUGAACUGAGGGCUGUGGCAGCAGAGAGUGAAGCUCAGGAUGUCUGGAAAGAGAGGUAUUCUGUGGCUGUGCUUGGGAAUCUGGCACAAUAUUACCAUAGCUUUGCAUCUAUUUACUUUGUAGCUAUAAAAUAUAUUUUGUUUCCAGAAAGUAUCAAACUUACAAUAUUCAGGAUCUAUAGCACUCAUUUUCUGUAUUUCAAGGAUGCCACAUCUGAACCCUGCCUGGAGACUUCCUUCUCCAGAAUGAGAAGACAACACCAGGGGCACCUCUCCUCACGUGAAAAGCUGUAUUUCACCUGUUAAAUAUCUUACAAUGCUUCUCCAAGCAGAAAUACAAAUAUUUGACUGCUGCUUCACUAGGCAAUAGAAAUGUGUUUUCUUCUUCUCUGUAGUGAGAAAGCAAUAAUAAAGCACUUAUUUCAUUCUCUGAGAGGCAGCAAGAGGGAGAAGCAGUUGCAUGACCAAAACCAAAUCCCGAUAACAGAGAACGGUAUUUGAUAUUAAUUUUCUAUUGUCUUCUCAAAACUCGUUUAAAUUCCUGAUGGAUAGGUCCUCCGCUUCUCCUUUUGGGAUUACCCUCCAUUAUUCCUAAUGUCCUUUUCUUAAUUUUGUAUUUGCUUUACAAAUAAGGUAAUUUUUCUUUCUCCGUAGCCUUUACAUCCUAUAAAAAUUUAAAACUUGUUAUAUUUCAUCUCAGUUACUGUUUCCCUAAGUUGCUUACACUUGAUCAUUUUUUUUUUCAUGCAAGUUCAUCUUCCUGUUAUCAUUCUCUGGAUUUGCUUUAGUUUAUCAGCUGCAUUCUAGCAAUGUGAUUAAUCAAAAACAUAUCUAGUAUUCUAUCCAGGCUACAGCAGAACUACACAGAGAGGGCUAUUAAGACAGAUCUCAGUGAUGCACAGCUUUCACACAGGCAGCCUGAAAUUUUGCUACGCUUCAUUGCGACUGUGUCAUGUUACAUAUGCAUGUUUAAUUUUCUGUUCACUAUUGCCCUUUAACACUAUGUAAGACAGUGACAUAAGGCUAUUCAGCUGGUUUACGCUCUUUCUGAGGACUGCUUGAAUGCUAGUAAUGAUGUCAUUAAAAAAAUAUGAGAUCUGAAUUGGACUGUGGACUUUACCCAGAAAUUACAAUUUUAUUUUCUUUUCUUUGUAAGCUGUUUAUAUAUAUAUAUAUAUAUAUCCUUUUGCAGCUAACAGUUUCACUUAAUGGAAACAGGAUUUUGCUUUGCAAAGUUUGAAGAAAGCCCACUUAGGACUUUAGUUACCCAAAAUAUGGAAGUUUUGCUAAUUAGGAAACAAUUCUAAUGCUCCAAUGGACAUGGCUAAUUCAAAGUGCACUUGUUAAAGAUUAGAAGUUAAAGAUCAAAAUCAGAAUAGUAUGUAGGCUUUGUAAGAAGUUAAUGCUGCGCUUUCCUGGGACAUCAUCAGCAGUACAUUUCCUACUCAACUGCACCUCAGGAAAUCUUCCAUUAUCCCCAUAUCAUCACUGGCGAAUCAGAGCUCAAGUCAGUCCAGCAUUUUAAUUAUUUGGGAAGCAUCAUCUCCUUGGAUAGUAAAACUGACAAAGAGAUAGACAACAGGUUAGCGAAGGCAUACAGAGCUUUCAGUAAACUCCAUAAAAGAGUUUGGUGAAACAAACACUUGAAGAAAAGUACAAAGAUCAGCAUUUACAGAGCCAUUGUACUGUCUACUCUUUUAUAUGGAUCUGAAUCAUGGGUCAUUUACCGGCACCACUUGCGUCUCUUAGAACGCUUCCAUCAGCGCUGCCUCUCAUACAAUCCCAAACAUCCACUGGAUGUGACCAACACGUCUGUCCUUGAACAGGCAGCAGUCACGAGCAUUGAGGCCAUGCUGCUGAGAACACAGCUGUGCUGGGCAGGGCACGUCUCCAGGAUGCAGGACUACCGCCUCCCUAAGAUCGUGCUCUAUGGGGAACUUGCCACUGGCUGCUGCAAGAGAGGAGCCCCGAAGAGGAGAUACAAGGACUGCCUGAAACAAUCCCUCAGCCUUGGCCAUAUUGAUCACCACCAUUGGUCUACCCUGGCCUCUAAUCGGGAGGCCUGGGACACACCAUCUAUAACGCUGCUGCUGCUUUUGAGAACACACGCAGGAUCACUCUCAAGGAGAAAAGACAGCGCAGAAAGAACAGUGUCUUGCCAAUACCAUCUAAGGAGACUUUCCUCUGUGCCUUUUGCAACUCGGACUUGUCUAUCUUGCAUUGGCCUUUUUAGCCAUCAGCACCCUUGUAGCAAGUGUGGGUAGAGCCCUUCUCAAAUCUUUGUUCGUGAAGCCUAGCCAUGAUGAUGAUCAACAGUACAUUGUUUCUUGUAGAAGUGAGACCUGUGGUACUAGAUGUCUACAUAAGAUCUUCAGAAAUGCACUUGAU